GUUCACUCCUGGACAUAUACUAAAAUUGGAACAAUACAGAGAAGAUUCGCAUGGUGCCUGCGCAAAUUUUUUGUGAAGUCCUAAUCGUGUGU
This is a non-coding RNA of Ancylostoma duodenale, 92 nucleotides long. The record is from Rfam. Lineage: Eukaryota; Metazoa; Nematoda; Chromadorea; Rhabditida; Ancylostomatidae.